This 492-nucleotide ribosomal RNA is filed under the name uncultured bacterium. RNAcentral's name for it is "partial 16S ribosomal RNA". It matches the Rfam family "Bacterial small subunit ribosomal RNA", at positions 29 to 507 of the family's 1533-position model. The record is from RNAcentral.
AGUGAACGCUGGCGGUAGGCCUAACACAUGCAAGUCGAACGGCAGCACAGUAAGAGCUUGCUCUUACGGGUGGCGAGUGGCGGACGGGUGAGGAAUACAUCGGAAUCUACUUUUUCGUGGGGGAUAACGUAGGGAAACUUACGCUAAUACCGCAUACGACCUACGGGUGAAAGCAGGGGAUCUUCGGACCUUGCGCGAUUGAAUGGGCCGAUGUCGGAUUAGCUAGUUGGCGGGGUAAAGGCCCACCAAGGCGACGAUCCGUAGCUGGUCUGAGAGGAUGAUCAGCCACACUGGAACUGAGACACGGUCCAGACUCCUACGGGAGGCAGCAGUGGGGAAUAUUGGACAAUGGGCGCAAGCCUGAUCCAGCCAUACCGCGUGGGUGAAGAAGGCCUUCGGGUUGUAAAGCCCUUUUGUUGGGGAAGAAAAGCAGCAGGUUAAUACCCCGCUGUUCUGACGGUACCCAAAGAAUAAGCACCGGCUAACUUCGUG